RNAcentral lists this ribosomal RNA (2894 nucleotides) under Stenotrophomonas maltophilia. RNAcentral describes it as "23S ribosomal RNA". Lineage: Bacteria; Pseudomonadati; Pseudomonadota; Gammaproteobacteria; Lysobacterales; Lysobacteraceae. The record is from RNAcentral.
GUUAUAUGGUCAAGCGAAUAAGCGCACACGGUGGAUGCCUUGGCGGUCAGAGGCGAUGAAGGACGUGGCAGCCUGCGAAAAGUAUCGGGGAGCUGGCAACAAGCUUUGAUCCGGUAAUGUCCGAAUGGGGAAACCCACCCGCUUGCGGGUAUCCUGCAGUGAAUACAUAGCUGCUGGAAGCGAACCUGGUGAACUGAAAUAUCUAAGUAACCAGAGGAAAAGAAAUCAACCGAGAUUCCGUAAGUAGCGACGAGCGAACGCGGACUAGCCCUUAAGCUGAUUUGGUUCUAGGAAAACGCUCUGGAAAGAGCGGCCAUAGAAGGUGAUAGCCCUGUAUCUGAAAGGGCCAUUUCAGUGAAGACGAGUAGGGCGGGGCACGUGAAACCCUGUCUGAACAUGGGGGGACCAUCCUCCAAGGCUAAAUACUACUGACCGACCGAUAGUGAACCAGUACCGUGAGGGAAAGGCGAAAAGAACCCCGGAGAGGGGAGUGAAAUAGAACCUGAAACCGUGUGCGUACAAGCAGUAGGAGCUCCGCAAGGAGUGACUGCGUACCUUUUGUAUAAUGGGUCAGCGACUUACUGUUCGUGGCAAGCUUAACCGUAUAGGGGAGGCGAAGGGAAACCGAGUCUGAUAAGGGCGCAUAGUCGCGGGCAGUAGACCCGAAACCGGGUGAUCUAGUCAUGCCCAGGGUGAAGGUGCGGUAACACGCACUGGAGGCCCGAACCCACUCCCGUUGCAAAGGUAGGGGAUGAGGUGUGAUUAGGAGUGAAAAGCUAAUCGAACCCGGAGAUAGCUGGUUCUCCUCGAAAGCUAUUUAGGUAGCGCCUCAUAUGUAUCCUCUCGGGGGUAGAGCACUGUUAUGGCUAGGGGGUCAUCGCGACUUACCAAACCAUUGCAAACUCCGAAUACCGAGACGGACUGUAUGGGAGACACACGGCGGGUGCUAACGUCCGUCGUGAAAAGGGAAACAACCCAGACCCACAGCUAAGGUCCCAAAUUCACUGCUAAGUGGAAAACCAUGUGGAAAGGCACAGACAGCCAGGAGGUUGGCUUAGAAGCAGCCACCCUUUAAAGAAAGCGUAAUAGCUCACUGGUCGAGUCGGUCUGCGGGGAAGAUUUAACGGGGCUAAGCAGUGAACCGAAGCUUGGGGUGCAUAACUUUGUUAUGCGCGGUAGAGGAGCGUUCCGUAAGCCGUUGAAGGUGGAUUGAGAAGUCUGCUGGAGGUAUCGGAAGUGCGAAUGCUGACAUGAGUAACGAUAAUGCGGGUGAAAAACCCGCACGCCGAAAGCCCAAGGUUUCCUUGCGCAACGUUAAUCGGCGCAGGGUGAGUCGGCCCCUAAGGCGAGGACGAAAGUCGUAGUCGAUGGGAAGCAGGUUAAUAUUCCUGCACCUCGCGUAAGUGCGAUGGAGGGACGGAGAAGGUUAGGUGUACCAGGCGUUGGUUGUCCUGGGGAAAGGCGGUAGGUUUGGAUCUUUGGCAAAUCCGGGAUCCUUYAAGACCGAGCACCGAGACGAGCCUUUAUGGCAAAGUCACUGAUACCACGCUUCCAGGAAAAGCUCCUAAGCUUCAGCUUACGCAGACCGUACCGUAAACCGACACAGGUGGGUAGGAUGAGAAUUCUCAGGCGYUUGAGAGAACUCGGGUGAAGGAACUAGGCAACAUGGCACCGUAACUUCGGGAGAAGGUGCACCCUUUUUGGUGGCUCGUGCGAGCUAUAGCUGAAGAGGGUCGCAGUAACCAGGCCGCUGCGACUGUUUAUCAAAAACACAGCACUCUGCAAACACGAAAGUGGACGUAUAGGGUGUGACGCCUGCCCGGUGCUGGAAGGUUAAUUGAUGGGGUCAGCCGCAAGGCGAAGCUCUUGAUCGAAGCCCCAGUAAACGGCGGCCGUAACUAUAACGGUCCUAAGGUAGCGAAAUUCCUUGUCGGGUAAGUUCCGACCUGCACGAAUGGCGUAACGACAGCGGCGCUGUCUCCACCCGAGACUCAGUGAAAUUGAAAUCGCUGUGAAGAUGCAGCGUUCCCGUGGCAAGACGGAAAGACCCCGUGAACCUUUACUAUAGCUUUACACUGAACGUUGAGUUCGUCUGUGUAGGAUAGGUGGGAGGCUAUGAAACUGUGGCGCUAGCUGCAGUGGAGCCAUCCUUGAAAUACCACCCUGUCGUGCUUGACGUUCUAACCUGGGCCCAUUAUCUGGGUCGGGGACCGUGUAUGGUGGGUAGUUUGACUGGGGCGGUCUCCUCCUAAAGAGUAACGGAGGAGCUCGAAGGUACGCUCAGCGCGGUCGGACAUCGCGCACUGUGUGCAAAGGCAUAAGCGUGCUUGACUGCAAGAUCGACGGAUCAAGCAGGUAGGAAACUAGGACUUAGUGAUCCGGUGGUUCUGUAUGGAAGGGCCAUCGCUCAACGGAUAAAAGGUACUCCGGGGAUAACAGGCUGAUACCGCCCAAGAGUUCAUAUCGACGGCGGUGUUUGGCACCUCGAUGUCGGCUCAUCACAUCCUGGGGCUGUAGUCGGUCCCAAGGGUAUGGCUGUUCGCCAUUUAAAGUGGUACGCGAGCUGGGUUCAGAACGUCGUGAGACAGUUCGGUCCCUAUCUGCCAUGGGCGUUGGAGAUUUGAGAGGGGCUGCUCCUAGUACGAGAGGACCGGAGUGGACGAACCUCUGGUGUUCCGGUUGUCACGCCAGUGGCAUUGCCGGGUAGCUAUGUUCGGAAGCGAUAACCGCUGAAAGCAUCUAAGCGGGAAGCGCGCCUCAAGAUGAGAUCUCCCGGGGCACAAGCCCCCUGAAGGAACCAUGUAGACUACGUGGUUGAUAGGUCAGGUGUGUAAGUACAGCAAUGUAUUGAGCUAACUGAUACUAAUGAUCCGAGAGGCUUGACCAUAUAACCU